This 469-nucleotide ribosomal RNA is filed under the name uncultured bacterium. RNAcentral's name for it is "bacterial SSU rRNA". It matches the Rfam family "Bacterial small subunit ribosomal RNA", at positions 10 to 507 of the family's 1533-position model. The record is from RNAcentral.
AGUUUGAUCAUGGCUCAGGAUGAAUGCUGGCGGCGUGCCUAAUACAUGCAAGUCGAGCGGCAGCGCGUCUAGUUUACUAGAUGGCGGCGAGCGGCGGACGGCUGAGUAACGCGUAGGAAUGUGCCCCAAAGUGAGGAAUAACUGCCCGAAAGGGUAGCUAAUGCCGCAUAUGGUCUUCGGAUUAAAGGAUUUAUCCGCUUUGGGAGCAGCCUGCGUACGAUUAGAUAGUUGGUGAGGUAAUGGCUCACCAAGUCGACGAUCGUUAGCUGGUCUGAGAGGAUGAUCAGCCAGACUGGAACUGAGACACGGUCCAGACUCCUACGGGAGGCAGCAGUAAGGAAUCUUCCACAAUGGGCGAAAGCCUGAUGGAGCAACGCCGCGUGCAGGAUGAAGGCCUUCGGGUUGUAAACUGCUUUUAUGAGUGAAGAAUAUGACGGCAACUCAUGAAUAAGCACCGGCUAACUACGUG